CACCGGUUCAAACCGAACCGGUGACAUAAAUGGUAAAGGCCACCGGUUUUGAACCCGUGGCAAUAAUCAAUUAAAAAAAAAAACGCCCCCCUUAUAAACCCCAAACCCUACCUUAUUUCUCUCAUCAGCCGCUCUUUCAUUCUCUCUCCUGCUCCUCUCUCUCCUGCUCUCCCCUCUCCUCUUUCUCUCUCGUAGUCUCUGUUCUCCACGAACAGUUCUCCCCUAGAUCUCCUCCUUCUCUUUCUCAUCUCCUUCUCCCUCCUGUCGUCUCCUUCUCCCUCUUCUCCUUCAAUCUCCUCGUCUCCUUCUCUUUCAUUUCCACCAUCACCAAGACCACCACCGCAACAAUAACACCACGAAAACAUGCACCACUAAGACAAGCACGAGGUAUAUUGAUCAAGAUCUUAAAUUGAAGAACAUGCAAGAAUAUUGAAUUAGAUGUUGGGUUUUUUUGUUUUUAUGUUGUAAUUUUUUUUUUAAUUUAAUAUUGGAAUUUUAGUUUGUAAUCUCAUUAAUUUAGUUAUUUGGAAUUGUUGUAUGAGUAAUUUAUUUGUAGUUAUUAAUUUAGUUUUUUCACUCUUAAAAAGUGUACAAUUACUAGUUAUUGAUGAAUAUAUGUGUGUUUCAUGUA
Chenopodium quinoa (quinoa) is the source of this 631-nucleotide long non-coding RNA. RefSeq lists it as uncharacterized. The record is from RefSeq and is a predicted model, not a curated record. Lineage: Eukaryota; Viridiplantae; Streptophyta; Magnoliopsida; Caryophyllales; Amaranthaceae. The transcript has 2 exons.